AUGAUAUGGAGGAUAGGAAACGGAGCUUCGGUUCGGAUAUGGCGGGACAACUGGAUCCCUCGCUCAUCAACGCUUAAGCCACUUAGCCCCCGAGGCCGCUCUCGCCUAAACCGAGUCUCUAGUCUGCUGGAUCAACACGGAGUGUGGGAUGAAUCAAAAAUUCGAGCGACUUUCGCCCCGAUUGAUGUGGAGGCCAUCUUGCGGAUUAGAACAUCGCCACGGCAGGAAUCAGAUUUCUUGGCAUGGAAUCCUGAAAAAAACGGUAUCUUCACCGUGAGAAGUGCUUACAAGCUGGGUAUGCGUCUCAAGGAUCAGGCGAUGAGCUGGGCAUCUUCUAGCGCACAGCCGGACGGUCAGCGGCAAGUAUGGAAGCAACUAUGGAAUCUUCCUAUACCACCCAAGGUCCGGACGUUUGGCUGGCGUGCUAUGUCAAAUGCUCUUGCAACUGAAGUGAACAAGAAGUACCGGGGCAUCCGGGUGACUGGCUACUGUCAGAUUUGCGGCCAUGCAAAAGAGGAUCUCCGGCAUGCCCUGUACUUCUGCCCGCAUGCGUAUGCCCUUUGGAAUGCCAUGCAGGAGGUGUGGCGCUUACCUUCACAUGCAACCAUGCAGCAGCUGCCACCGGACUGGAUCCCUGAACUCGUCACCUCGCUGCCUGCGGAUGAAUGUGCGCGUGUCCUAAUGGUGCUAUGGCGCGCAUGGCAUUCCUGGAAUAAGGUUACUCAUGAUAAGCCGCUGCCAACUAUUGAAGGAUCCCGUCGCUACCUAUGUUGUUACAUGCGAUCCCUGAAGCUGAUCCAGACCGAGUCCGUUGAGAAAAUUAUUAAAGGAAAAGGGAUUAUGGAUGGACCUCCUCUGCCGGUGCAGCCAAUGGUACAGUCGGAUGAGCCAAUUCCUUGGGCAAAACCACCAGCUGGGGUGGUCAAAUUAAAUGUGGAUGGCUCCUUCAUCCCCGCGACAGGGGUGCCGGGCGCCGGAAUGAUACUGAGAGACUGGAUGGGUCAGAUAAUUUUCUCGUCUUGCCGCGUCCUCCAUCGCUGUAGUUCGGCCCUAGAAGCUGAGAUGAGUGCAUGCCUGGAAGGAAUUAAUCUGGCGAUGCAGUGGAGUGCACAUCAGUUUGUGGUGGAGUCUGAUUCAGCGGAGCUCGUUGCUAUGGUUAAUAGUCCCAGCCGGGAUGGCUCUGCUCUCUGCCAGCUUGUGGGUGAGAUCAAGCAUCAUAUGGCGUCAGACCGGUGUACAAGCCUGAAAAAGAUACCCCGAGCCCAGAACCAUGCGAGCCACCUGCUUGCAAAAUUCGGCCGUGAAGAGAAUCGUACUGUGGUAUGGUUAGGAGCAGGUCCUGAAUCUAUUCAAGACCUCAUCCUCAGGGAUUGUAACAUUUCUUAUACUUAA
RNAcentral lists this ribosomal RNA (1392 nucleotides) under Triticum aestivum (bread wheat). Its description in RNAcentral is "partial small subunit ribosomal RNA". Lineage: Eukaryota; Viridiplantae; Streptophyta; Magnoliopsida; Poales; Poaceae. The record is from RNAcentral.